RNAcentral lists this ribosomal RNA (776 nucleotides) under uncultured Neocallimastigales. Its description in RNAcentral is "partial large subunit ribosomal RNA". It matches the Rfam family "Eukaryotic large subunit ribosomal RNA", at positions 22 to 646 of the family's 3401-position model. The record is from RNAcentral. Lineage: Eukaryota; Fungi; Neocallimastigomycota; Neocallimastigomycetes; Neocallimastigales.
AUAUCAGUCAUGCAUAGCAUAUCAAUAAGCGGAGGAAAAGAAACUAACAAGGAUUCCCUUAGUAACGGCGAGUGAAGCGGGAAGAGCUCAAAUUUGAAAUCUUCAAGGUUCUACCUUGACGAAUUGUAGUUUAUAGAAGUGUUUUCUGUUAGUAGAGUGGCAAAAGUCCUUUGGAAUAGGACAUCAUAGAGGGUGAGAAUCCCGUAUUUUGUCAUUCUUUCUAGCUUUGUGAUACACUUUCAACGAGUCGGAUUGUUUGGGAAUGCAGUCCAAAAUGGGUGGUAAAUUUCAUCUAAAGCUAAAUAUUGGCGAGAGACCGAUAGCGAACAAGUACCGUGAGGGAAAGAUGAAAAGAACUUUGAAAAGAGAGUUAAACAGUACGUGAAAUUGUCAAAAGGGAAGCGUUUGACACCAAUGUUGUUUUUUCCGAAAAUCAAUUACGAAUGUUUUAGUUUUUGAGAAGUUAUGACUUCAUCGGCUUGCUUCUCUCUUUAUGAAACUUUCUUAAUGCACUUUUCGGUUAACAAGUCAACAUCAAUUUCUUUUGUUGUAAAAGGGUAUGAGGAAGGUGGCUUUCUUUUCGGAGAAAGUGUUUAUAGCCUUGUACCUCUGCAAUCGGAGAGAUUGAGGUCUGCAGCGUAGAUCCUUCGGGGUUAGAUACAUUUGUGCUAAGUUAUAGCUUUUCAUAGACAACUUGUUGACUAUGUUAAGUCUUGUAGCUUACUCGCUUAUGCUAUUUUACCUACGCUUAGGAUGUUGAUGUGAUACUGCGAGCA